GCCGAUUAGGUAGUUGUUGGGGUAAAAGCCCAACAAGCCCGUAAUCGGUACGGGUUGUGGGAGCAAGAGCCCGGAGAUGGAUUCUGAGACACGAAUCCAGGCCCUACGGGGCGCAGCAGGCGCGAAAACUUUACAAUGCGGGCAACCGUGAUAAGGAAACCCCGAGUGCCAGCACAGGCUGGCUGUCCACCAGUGUAAACAACUGGUGAAGAAAGGGCCGGGCAAGACCGGCGCCAGCCGCCGCGGUAAUACCGGCGGCUCGAGUGGUGGCCGCUUUUACUGGGCUUAAAGGGUCCGUAGCUGGAUUCACAAGUCCCUUGAGAAAUCUAUCGGCUUAACUGAUAGGCGUUCAGGGGAUACUGUGGUUCUAGGGACCGGGAGAGGUGAGAGGUACUGCCGGGGUAGGAGUGAAAUCCUGUAAUCCCGGUGGGACGACCUAUAGCGAAGGCAUCUCACCAGAACGGCUCCGACAGUGAGGGACGAAAGCUGGGGGAGCAAACCGGAUUAGAUACCCGGGUAGUCCCAGCUGUAAACGAUGCGCGUUAGGUGUGUCAGUGACCACGUGUCACUGAUGUGCCGAAGGGAAACCGUGAAACGCGCCGCCUGGGGAGUACGGUCGCAAGGCUGAAACUUAAAGGAAUUGGCGGGGGGGCACCACAACGGGUGGAGCCUGCGGUUUAAUCGGACUCAACGCCGGAAAUCUCACCGGAUAAGACAGCUGAAUGAUAGUCGGGAUGAAGACUCUACUUGACUAGCU
This 757-nucleotide ribosomal RNA is filed under the name uncultured Methanospirillum sp. RNAcentral's name for it is "bacterial SSU rRNA". It matches the Rfam family "Archaeal small subunit ribosomal RNA", at positions 220 to 981 of the family's 1478-position model. Lineage: Archaea; Methanobacteriati; Methanobacteriota; Methanomicrobia; Methanomicrobiales; Methanospirillaceae. The record is from RNAcentral.